GUUCCUUGUGUUAAGGUGCAUCUAGUGCAGUUAGUGAAGUAGCUUAGAAUCUACUGCCCUAAAUGCUCCUUCUGGCA
Molecule: microRNA precursor, 77 nt
Organism: Chelonoidis abingdonii (Abingdon island giant tortoise)
Lineage: Eukaryota; Metazoa; Chordata; Testudines; Testudinidae
Source: Ensembl